GUCUACAGCCAUGACACCCUGAACAAGCCCGAUCCUGUCUGAUCUCAAAAGCUAAGCUGAGUCGGGCCUGGUUAGUACUUGGAUAGGAGACCACCUAGGAAGACUAGGUGUUGUAGGUG
This 119-nucleotide ribosomal RNA is filed under the name Pteropus alecto (black flying fox). The record is from RNAcentral. Lineage: Eukaryota; Metazoa; Chordata; Mammalia; Chiroptera; Pteropodidae.